RNAcentral lists this small RNA (828 nucleotides) under Vigna angularis var. angularis. RNAcentral's name for it is "Non-protein coding transcript". The record is from RNAcentral. Lineage: Eukaryota; Viridiplantae; Streptophyta; Magnoliopsida; Fabales; Fabaceae.
CCAAAAAUAGAAAAGAAGAUCAUGAAACCACAUGAUAUCUGCACAACUCUGCGACUCCCUAUAUGUGUUAGACCAAGUAGGCCCACAUUUUCACUGCAAUUGCCAAAGGGAUUUGUUAGACUAUUACUCAUACAAUUCUUGAUCUCAAAUUUCUACUAAUAUUCAUCUAUUGUACUUUGUUUUUCUUAUUUUUUAUAAUAUUAGAGGUAUUCUGCAAAUGAUUGGUGUUGACUGGGGUGUAACCUAGUUAGGGUUUGAUAGGAACCCGGAAAUAGUUAGGCCCAAACCCAAAAUAUCUAAGGUGUAUGUUAGACAAAGAUGGAAGGGCAAAGCAGGGGAUCAAAAUGGUCAGAGAGAGAAUGAGAAGAAUCUUUCUAUAUAACAAACUGCUGAGCUGGCACAGUAGGAAAGGAGUGAUUAUGUUGUUUGGGGUAUAAGGAGUGGAAAGAGAGUGGGGAGAAGGGGGGGCUGGAAUUGGCUGGGAAUCGGGAGAGACUAGACACUCUCUAACUGUCUAGAAUUACCCUUUUUUGUGCUGUUACAGAUCUGUAUUCUCUUUCUGGGAUAUGCACUCUGUUUUUCUUUGAUAAUAAAGUGACUAUUCAGCUAUUGUGUGCUUUCUUAUUUCUAGUAUCUAUCAGGGUUGCAGUCAACACACUGAUGCUUUUGCAUACAUAUUUGAUUGAAAAAAUAACCUUGAAGUAAUUUAACUACCAACAGGUUAAGCAGCUUAGUUUUCUAGUGAAAUCGUUGAUGAAGGAUUUAAAAUUGGUUCAACCGAUACCUCAAAUUCUAAAUAAUUAAAAUUUUAUAAAGCUGAGCUGCAAU